GACCCCCUGCCAUUUGAGAAAGUUCUAAUAUCUUGUAAAUGGUUGAGAUCCCCACCCCUAAACCAUAUAUAUUCUGGUUUGUCAUGAUAAAGCACAUCAAAUGAAAUACAGGGUUAGUCCCCAGGGGUAACCCCCACCCCCUGCCAUUUAAGAAAAUUCUAAUACCUUGUAAGUGGUCAAGAUCCCCAC
Molecule: long non-coding RNA, 189 nt
Organism: Mytilus californianus (California mussel)
Lineage: Eukaryota; Metazoa; Mollusca; Bivalvia; Mytilida; Mytilidae
Exons: 2
Source: RefSeq, a predicted model, not a curated record